This is an RNA transcript of Solanum dulcamara, 2035 nucleotides long. It is a transcript of the gene named F-box/kelch-repeat protein At1g51550, with no coding region annotated. The record is from RefSeq and is a predicted model, not a curated record. The transcript is spliced from 3 exons. NCBI's taxonomy places the organism in Eukaryota, Viridiplantae, Streptophyta, Magnoliopsida, Solanales, Solanaceae.
CAUGUUAGAAGCCGAUUAUUAAAAACAAAGGCAGAGCAAAAACAGAGAUGCACCCACCACCCAACAAGGUAAAAACGAGAGCCAAAGCCAAAAUCCCCAACAAUCAGCAGCAGCAGCAGCGUGUGCUCUCCAUUCUCAACUCUCAACUUCCAUGGCUACAAGCAGCAGCUGCAACGGAUCAUCUCCAAUAACGACAAUAGCUCAAGACCAUGUCUUCUCCAUCUUACUACUCUUACCUUUGGACUCCAUUUUUUGCUUUGCUAUGACUUGUAAGAAGUUCAGGUCACUCACUUACUCAGACUCUUUAUGGGAAUCACUCUGUCGAAGAGAUUGGGGAAACUCCUCUAUUGAUGCACUCAGAUCCUUAGCUGCUGACGGUAAACAACAACAAUUUCCUUGGAAGAAGCUUUACCAGCAAAUCUACCAAUUGGAUUCUGUUUACUUUCGCAAACUGUUGACGCAUCCACAAGGAGGAGAAGAGCUAUUGCUUCCUCGACCUAGAGCUUCUCAUUCUCUCAACUUUGUUUCUGGCUGUCUAGUUCUCUUCGGCGGUGGCUGCGAGGGAGGAAGACAUCUGGACGAUACAUGGGUAGCAUAUGUUGGCAAUGACUUCAAGAGAAUGUUGAAAUGGAAUAAGAUUGAAUCAGGGGUCCCAAGUGGUCGCUUUGGGCAUUCAUGCGUCGUGAUUGGUGAUUGUCUAGUGCUUUUCGGAGGAAUAAAUGAUCAGGGGGCCCGCCAAAAUGAUACAUGGAUCGGCCAAGUAGCAGUACAUGAUGCAUUUGGUAUCACAUUAUCCUGGAGAUUAUUUGAUGUUGGUUCCAUUGCUCCUCCACCAAGAGGCGCUCAUGCUGCAUGUAGCAUUGAUAAAAGGAGGAUGCUGAUUCAUGGAGGGAUUGGUUUGUCUGGUCUGCGAUUGGGAGAUGCAUGGAUAUUGGAACUGUCCGAGAAUCUUCAUCUUGGAGUUUGGCAAGAAAUUGUAAUUCAUCCAUCUCCUCCAUCUCGCUCUGGACAUACAUUGACCCCUGUUGGAGGAAACCAAACAAUUUUGUUUGGUGGGAGGGGUUUAGGCUAUGAGGUGCUUAAUGAUGUAUGGCUCUUUGAUACAUCUGAAGGUCACUGGAGAUGGGUACAGUUACUAUUUGACUUGCAAAAUAUACCCCAAGGAUUGACCCUGCCAAGAGUUGGUCACUCGGCUAGUCUCAUCAUAGGAGGACGAUUGUUAAUUUAUGGAGGAGAAGAUUCCUACCGUCACAGGAAAAAUGACUUUUGGGUGUUGGAUAUCAGCUCAGUUACGUCCAUUAUGCAGUCUGGGUCUCCUCCAACACCGGAGAGAUCAACGGCUAAAUUGUGGAGACGGCUCAAGUCUAAAGGUGAUAACCCUUGCGGCAGAUCAUUUCACCGAGCUUGUGUGGAUCCUUCUGGUCGUAAUUUAUACAUCUUCGGUGGCAUGGUAGAUGGUUUACUUCAUGCUGCUGAAUCCUCUGGGCUGAGGUUUGAUGGGGAGUUGUUUCUUGUGGAGCUUUUGCUUCAGUGCUAGGGGAAUUGGAAGGAGAUUAUUGGAAAAACAAGUGGUGAUUCUAAAAUGCUGCUGCUUUACAUGAGAAUGAAUGCAGUGUAAAAAUCAGUCCCACUUGUUAGAAGCAAGGUAACAGCUAGUAGGGUGCUUUGUACAGUAAUAAGUAGGUAUUGUAAUUUGGUCUCAGAACUGCAUCUGAAGAAUUGUUUAAGGUAUGUUUUCUGCUCUUGUAGAGGAAGCUAGAGUCAACCAAGACACCAAAUGAUACAUGAUACCAGGCCCGACCUUUUCACGAUCCAGCAAAGCCCUCUGGAAUUAAUAGAACUACCAUGACCUUAAAGCACGCAUUCAACUAAUCUGUCCAUGUCUUUUGAUAGCCUCAACACCGAAGGUGUCGCGGAGUAGCUUAACCGUCAAGAAAGUGGGUGAAUUAAUUGAGAUGCGCACAAAUUGGCUACACACCAUAAUUAUAAAAACAAAAAAUUAAUAAUGGUAAUUUCGAAAAUGUAAGAUUGUUUA